Molecule: ribosomal RNA, 468 nt
Filed under: uncultured bacterium
Lineage: Bacteria
Description: partial 16S ribosomal RNA
Rfam family: Bacterial small subunit ribosomal RNA
Source: RNAcentral
UCCUCCCUCUUUCUUCGUGCUUAACACAUGCAAGUCGAACGGAAAGGCCCUGCUUUUGUGGGGUGCUCGAGUGGCGAACGGGUGAGUAACACGUGAGUAACCUGCCCUUGACUUUGGGAUAACUUCAGGAAACUGGGGCUAAUACCGGAUAGGAGCUCCUGCUGCAUGGUGGGGGUUGGAAAGUUUCGGCGGUUGGGGAUGGACUCGCGGCUUAUCAGCUUGUUGGUGGGGUAGUGGCUUACCAAGGCUUUGACGGGUAGCCGGCCUGAGAGGGUGACCGGCCACAUUGGGACUGAGAUACGGCCCAGGCUCCUACGGGAGGCAGCAGUGGGGAAUAUUGCACAAUGGGCGGAAGCCUGAUGCAGCAACGCCGCGUGCGGGAUGACGGCCUUCGGGUUGUAAACCGCUUUCGCCUGUGACGAAGCGUGAGUGACGGUAAUGGGUAAAGAAGCACCGGCUAACUACGUG